Long non-coding RNA from Oxyura jamaicensis (ruddy duck), 181 nucleotides. RefSeq lists it as uncharacterized. Lineage: Eukaryota; Metazoa; Chordata; Aves; Anseriformes; Anatidae. The transcript has 3 exons. The record is from RefSeq and is a predicted model, not a curated record.
GUGUGUGUAAGAGUAACUGUCAAGUAGCUCUUGUCAGUAAGGCACCCAUCACCUCCCUGGCAGCUGGAUGCAUUUGAAGUCAACACAAUCUUCCUAAUCUGGACCAAGAGAAGCAAACUCUAAAAACAAUUCUAAAGAAAUUAUUUAAGUAUUCCAUUCACAAACUACCCUUGUAAAGGCU